Molecule: ribosomal RNA, 489 nt
Filed under: uncultured bacterium
Lineage: Bacteria
Description: partial 16S ribosomal RNA
Rfam family: Bacterial small subunit ribosomal RNA
Source: RNAcentral
AUUGAACGCUGGCGGCAGGCCUAACACAUGCAAGUCGAACGGUAACAGGAAGAAGCUUGCUUCUUUGCUGACGAGUGGCGGACGGGUGAGUAAUGUCUGGGAAACUGCCUGAUGGAGGGGGAUAACUACUGGAAACGGUAGCUAAUACCGCAUAACGUCGCAAGACCAAAGAGGGGGACCUUCGGGCCUCUUGCCAUCGGAUGUGCCCAGAUGGGAUUAGCUUGUUGGUGGGGUAACGGCUCACCAAGGCGACGAUCCCUAGCUGGUCUGAGAGGACGACCAGCCGCACUGGAACUGAGACACGGUCCAGACUCCUACGGGAGGCAGCAGUGGGGAAUAUUGCACAAUGGGCGCAAGCCUGAUGCAGCCAUGCCGCGUGUAUGAAGAAGGCCUUCGGGUUGUAAAGUACUUUCAGCGGGGAGGAAGGGAGUAAAGUUAAUACCUUUGCUCAUUGACGUUACCCGCAGAAGAAGCACCGGCUAACUCCGU